This 443-nucleotide ribosomal RNA is filed under the name uncultured bacterium. Its description in RNAcentral is "partial 16S ribosomal RNA". It matches the Rfam family "Bacterial small subunit ribosomal RNA", at positions 338 to 795 of the family's 1533-position model. The record is from RNAcentral.
CCUACGGGGGGCAGCAGUGGGGAAUAUUGGGCAAUGGGCGCAAGCCUGACCCAGCAACGCCGCGUGAAGGAAGAAGGCUUUCGGGUUGUAAACUUCUUUUCUCAGGGACGAAGCAAGUGACGGUACCUGAGGAAUAAGCCACGGCUAACUACGUGCCAGCAGCCGCGGUAAUACGUAGGUGGCAAGCGUUAUCCGGAUUUACUGGGGGUAAAGGGCGUGUAGGCGGGGACGCAAGUCAGAUGUGAAAACCACGGGCUCAACCUGUGGCCUGCAUUUGAAACUGUGUUUCUUGAGUACUGGAGAGGCAGGCGGAAUUCCUGGUGUAGCGGUGAAAUGCGUAGAUAUAAGGAGGAACACCAGUGGCGAAGGCGGUCUGCUGGCCAGCAACUGACGCUGAGGCGCGAAAGCGUGGGGAGCAAACAGGAUUAGAUACCCUUGUAGUC